AAUAAAGUGGCCGAAAAUAGGCAUUAAAUUGUAAAUUUAAUAAUGAAUAAUUAAUUCCUUUAUUA
This 65-nucleotide transfer RNA is filed under the name Haplothrips aculeatus. RNAcentral's name for it is "tRNA-Tyr". Lineage: Eukaryota; Metazoa; Arthropoda; Insecta; Thysanoptera; Phlaeothripidae. The record is from RNAcentral.